GUGCUUGCUUCGGCAGCACAUAUACCAAAAUUGAAAUGAUACAGAGAAGAUUAGCAUGGCCCCUGCUCAAGGAUGACACACAAAUUUGGGCCACAUAUAACUUUUGG
This is a small nuclear RNA of Candoia aspera, 107 nucleotides long. The record is from RefSeq and is a predicted model, not a curated record. NCBI's taxonomy places the organism in Eukaryota, Metazoa, Chordata, Lepidosauria, Squamata, Candoiidae.